AUUGAACGCUGGCGGCAGGCCUAACACAUGCAAGUCGAGCGGAGCUGCCGACGGGUGAGUGAUGCAUAGGAAUCUGCCUGGUAGUGAGGGAUAAGGUCCGGAAACGGACGCUAAUACCGCAUACUAUCAGAUGAGCCUAGGUCGGAUUAGCUAGUUGGUGGGGUAAAGGCCUACCAAGGCGACGAUCCGUAACUGGUCUGAGAGGAUGAUCAGUCACACUGGAACUGAGACACGGUCCAGACUCCGACGGGAGGCAGCAGUUGGGAAUAUUGGACAAUGGGCGAAAGCCUGAUCCAGCCAUGCCGCGUGUGUGAAGAAGGUCUUCGGAUUGUAAAGCACUUUAAGUUGGGAGGCGUUACCAACAGAAUAAGCACCGGCUAACUUCGUGCCAGCAGCCGCGGUAAUAC
This 407-nucleotide ribosomal RNA is filed under the name uncultured bacterium. RNAcentral's name for it is "partial 16S ribosomal RNA". It matches the Rfam family "Bacterial small subunit ribosomal RNA", at positions 30 to 526 of the family's 1533-position model. The record is from RNAcentral.